RNAcentral lists this ribosomal RNA (677 nucleotides) under uncultured bacterium. RNAcentral's name for it is "bacterial SSU rRNA". It matches the Rfam family "Bacterial small subunit ribosomal RNA", at positions 814 to 1491 of the family's 1533-position model. The record is from RNAcentral.
GACUUGGAGGUUGUGCCCUUGAGGCGUGGCUUCCGGAGCUAACGCGUUAAGUCGACCGCCUGGGGAGUACGGCCGCAAGGUUAAAACUCAAAUGAAUUGACGGGGGCCCGCACAAGCGGUGGAGCAUGUGGUUUAAUUCGAUGCAACGCGAAGAACCUUACCUGGUCUUGACAUCCACGGAAGUUUUCAGAGAUGAGAAUGUGCCUUCGGGAACCGUGAGACAGGUGCUGCAUGGCUGUCGUCAGCUCGUGUUGUGAAAUGUUGGGUUAAGUCCCGCAACGAGCGCAACCCUUAUCCUUUGUUGCCAGCGGUCCGGCCGGGAACUCAAAGGAGACUGCCAGUGAUAAACUGGAGGAAGGUGGGGAUGACGUCAAGUCAUCAUGGCCCUUACGACCAGGGCUACACACGUGCUACAAUGGCAGAUACAAAGAGAAGCGACCUCGCGAGAGCAAGCGGAACUCAUAAAGUCUGUCGUAGUCCGGAUUGGAGUCUGCAACUCGACUCCAUGAAGUCGGAAUCGCUAGUAAUCGUAGAUCAGAAUGCUACGGUGAAUACGUUCCCGGGCCUUGUACACACCGCCCGUCACACCAUGGGAGUGGGUUGCAAAAGAAGUAGGUAGCUUAACCUUCGGGAGGGCGCUUACCACUUUGUGAUUCAUGACUGGGGUGAAGUCGUAA